This 233-nucleotide ribosomal RNA is filed under the name uncultured bacterium. RNAcentral's name for it is "partial 16S ribosomal RNA". It matches the Rfam family "Bacterial small subunit ribosomal RNA", at positions 333 to 563 of the family's 1533-position model. The record is from RNAcentral.
GGUCACCUACGGGGCGCAGCAGUGAGGAAUAUUGGUCAAUGGCCGGAAGGCUGAACCAGCCAAGCCGCGUGAAGGACGAAGGUGCCAAGCAUUGUAAACUUCUUUUGUCAAGGGACAAAAUCAGGCUCGAGAGCCUGACCGAGGGCACUUGAAGAAAAAGCAUCGGCUAACUCCGUGCCAGCAGCCGCGGCAAUACGGAGGAUGCGAGCGUUAUCCGCAUUUAUUGGGUUUAA